Molecule: long non-coding RNA, 2804 nt
Organism: Ostrea edulis (European flat oyster)
Lineage: Eukaryota; Metazoa; Mollusca; Bivalvia; Ostreida; Ostreidae
Exons: 2
Source: RefSeq, a predicted model, not a curated record
CUCCUGUUUAAUUUGUCGAACUAAAAUAACGGUACAAUAUGAUCAACUUAGUUAUGGUGACCAACAAUCUUACAAAAUUAGAACAAAAUCCAUUAAGCAGUUUCUGAAGAGUUGCAUCCACAUAGUCGAAUGAAAUGGACGGACACCGGUAUUUCUCUGUCCCCUUCCACGUUGCGUUAAAGAAACCACAAGGUAUUUACAACUUUACAUCCGGCGACACUAGCAUCUCAUCGAAAAGAAACAAGUUUUUUUUAUCUCAUAAAGCAACAACACAUUUUUUUUUGUUAAAUACUUCUUUUAUUUAAAAAAUCAACCAUGUUUUAUUGACACACUGAUGUUCAAGUACCGAUUGUCAACAGUGUCUAUAUUCAUCAAGAUCUUUUAGGCUGAUCCAAACACAUUCUCUGUUGACUUACAUUGCCAAAAAUUGGAAAUGAAAUGAACACGUUUGAGUUAAUAAAUCAAUCAGAAAAAAUUCUGGUUUACAUUAAUUGAUCCAUAACUAUAAGCAUUGUUUGAAGCAUUUUUCUAUCUGCUCUCCGAAACGAUUCCAAGCGAUGCUUGUUUUUUGUUUUAAAUGUAAGUGAUUAAGAGGUGUUUUUUUUUUUACUUUGGGGUGGUGGGGGUUUAAAUCUAAGAGGUAAAAGUGGGGUUCUUUUGGGGAGGGCAAUUUAAACGUCUCCUCCAUCCAUAUGUUUCAUUAAUGCAACAGAGAAUUUAUGUAGGACAGUCUAAUACUAACUUACUCCCGACAUCUUCUCAAAAUUCAACUCUAGAUUCUUAACUUUUAAAUAAAUAAGAAAUACUUGUUGGUAUUAACAAUGACUUUGGCAUAAAUAUUCCAAUGAACGCUAACAAGCUAGCGCUAGAUCUACAAAUUUUGGCAGCCUUAAAUAACAUGAACACACAAAUCAAGAACUUUGCUUUCAUCUUCAAAUUAGCACUGUUAAAUAUAUAUAAAAAUAAGAAAAUCUUCAAAAAUAAUUUCAAUAACAGGGUUCAUUAGUUUAGAGAUUUUUUUUUCCAAAACAUCUUUGACUGUAUCCAGUGACAACAUAGGCUCGUUUUCAAAAUCUUUGUCCAUUUUCUUUGCAACAUUUGUCGCCAUUUCUACGAAAAUGGAGGAAGUUGAUAACAGGAUACCAUUUUCUAUAAUCAUAAAAUUCGUCAAACACAUCUCAACCAAGACAAAGUUUGUGUCUUCUGACAACAUAGGUCCCAGUUUUAAAUGCAACCUUGUUUUGAAGACGCAGUUUGUAAUUGCACAACACCAGGAAUACAUUUUUAAAUCGUUGUAGAGAUCAUUGAUUAACAUCAAAGUUGUAGUUAUUGGUAUCUUGUGUAAUAAUUCAAAACCAAAAAUCUCAAAUCAAAAACAGCUCAUAAAGCCAAAAUACUACAGAUGCAUUACUAAAAGUGAGUGAUGAAAAAAUAUUCAGAACAAAUUACAUAAUUUUAAAAAAAAUAAUCAAUAAAUAUAACCAUUAUUGCUUGAGAUUGUUCUUCAUUUGAAUCUGUUGGUAUAUACUAUGUCAAUAUGGUGAUGCAUUGAAAUAAAUAAUUAAUGUUUCUUUGUACAAGUUUAAAUAGCAACACAUACUUUAAUAAAACUAAUCAUUGAUAUUAAAAUGCCGUUGUAAUUGCAAAUAUCAUUAUAUUGCAUGAUUUAUCUUCAUAUAAAAUCACCCAGAUGUUCUUUUAAUGUUUUCUGAUUUUACAAAGAAAUGCUGGUGAGAAAUGCUUUAGAUACAUGUAUUUUUAAAUCAAUUCUCUAACAAAAAACAUUUUCUAGACACAGAAACAGCAGAGGUAAGAGAAACAGAAAAAUGUCCUGCAUUUACACGGAUAAAUGUUCAGGUACCACAUUUGCCCAAAAAUGCUCCUACUACUUAAAAAAAAAAUGGUGUAAAAGGACAUUCAUUAGAAAUUGAAGAACAGACUAGUGAGGGAGAAAUACUACAUACCUUAUUUUAAAAUUUGACGGAAUCUGACCUUGUGCACUUUUUAGCGUUAUCAUGAUCUGGCGCUUCUCUAUAUGAUAAUGAAUAAAUACAGGUUUUCAUAUUUUAAUGCAACCACAACUUAGCUUUCGUGAUGCGUCGUGAAAUAUGAAUCCCGCUGAAAGAAGUGCAUGCAAGUUUUUCAUUCCGACAAUGAAAGUAAUGGCUAGGUGGUUCAUAUCAGUAUAUAACAUAAUUUGGACCAUUUUGGUGUAUAUCUUUAAUUAAAAUUCCAGGCAGUAUCUCAAUUCACUAUAAUCGACUGCAUGGUAUGACACGCUCAUUAUCAUUCAAAUUCAAAUAAACCUUGUUAUCUUUAAACUUGAUGGGUCACAGAGAAAAAAAACCCAUCAAGAUAUUCGAGAUACUGAGGUUAAAAUCCAUAAAAAAAAAAUGUAGUUGGGACUUCUAAAUCACUUCAACAUAUCCAUGGUAUUCGAGAUAUUGAUGUUUGAGAGACUGAAGUUCAACUGUAUUAAUGUGAUAGAGGUCUUUACUUUCUAGAAUCUAAAAUGCAUGAAAGAUGGAGCACUUCAUAGGGCAGCAAAGUCAGACAAAGUUUUCUUAUAAUGCACAAAAGAUUGCAUCAACAUUUCAAAUAGCUUUGUCAUAUUUGUAUAUCACAGAUCAAGAAAUACAGCACUAAAUCACACCAUUUACUUUCACUUCAGAUGACCUUUUAUGUACAAUAAGAAUGUUCCACACAUCUCCCAUACUAUGCUGUAAAUGAUAUCUACAGUGUAAACUUGCAUAAACAAUUCAUUUUUCAAAAACAAAGUCUUGCUCUCCCAAACAAAAAACAAA